Molecule: long non-coding RNA, 1373 nt
Filed under: Rhinolophus ferrumequinum (greater horseshoe bat)
Lineage: Eukaryota; Metazoa; Chordata; Mammalia; Chiroptera; Rhinolophidae
Description: lncRNA (ENSRFEG00010016029.1)
Source: RNAcentral
CCAUUCUGAAGCUAUCAAGGUCAAGGAGGAAUGGGCAAAAAACUAAUAACGAAGGAGGACAGUUGUGUUCAGCGCACCUCAAAUCAGCAGUUCAAGUGAAAGGCAACUUGGUAAGAGAUCAGGUCGGCCUGCAGUCUCAAAGGAGGAAGUGUCAGAAGUGUCAUAGGCACAGCGAGAGACCAGAUGACGAUCAGAUGGCUGUCACCAGAGCCACGCCCAGAGCCAUUUCUCCAACCUGGCAGGUUGUCUCUCCAUCCCCGUGUCUGAGGACAGCAGCACCUGGUUCCGGGUCUCCCUUUCCAGUCUGCUGUCGUCUUCUCUGACCUCAGGUAGGCACCUGCUUCUUCCUUCUGCUGUACCUGUCAAGCAGGUAUGCCUUCCUCUCCCCUCUACUCCCGAUGCUCACAGGUGCUAAGAUUUGGGAUCUUGUCACCCUUUUGUGGCCUCUAGAACGUGGUCUGCACUCUCUGGCUUGGACAUCCGUGCCAGGUUGGUUCUAUCUGCCUGGAAUCCCAAGUUGUAAUUGUUCUCCAAGGCCUUGAAAAUGCUGUUUCCUCCAUGAAGACUUUGUGAUCCAUCUGACAAGAAGCCCUCUCUUCCUCUAAAACGUCAUACCAUUCGAUCUAGACCUGACUCGUGGUGUUUAUUUUCUACCAUGCUUUAUAAUUCUGCUGUCAUGGAUUGAAAUCCUACUAUGAGCUGGAGAUCCUGGGGAUAGAGAUGAACAGGACACAGUACCAACUUGCAGGAAUUUUCAAGACUGGUGGAGGAAACACUCAUUUGAUAUUCAACGUGGACAGGUGGGAGGAGAGGGGGAGGGGCGGCCGCUCAGGGCACUGAGACAGAGUGUGGUGCCAGCGCCUCUGGGGGCUCCUGGAGGGACUGUGGUGCCAGCCGAUCACAUGCUCGGUGACUGCGCAGGGACCCUUCUUUCCUGUCUUUGGGGAAAUUUCUGGAGGAGACACAUGAGGCUUGUUGACAUUUAGGACCGUCACUUAAUAGUUUCUAAGUGGGACCACGGACCACUUGACAGGGAGCUAAGACUGCAGUGAACUUGGGUUUGGGUAGGACUGGGAGCCUGGAGGAGCGGGAAGACUGUUAAGGGAAGUGGCCAAGCUUGCACGUAGGAGUCGUAGUCACAAAGGUGCUGGGUGCUGGCACGACUGCAAUGGUGCCUGGGCCCAGUCUGACUGAGGCACCACCACCCUGGUAACUCGUCUGGAAGUGUAGUCACGCGAACCCCAUGCAUCAGAUGGAUGCUGAGCCUUCCCUGAAGCAGACAGCGCCGCACAGAAUCAGAACGUGGACUUUAUCCUGAAGGCCCUUCCAGUUUUCUGGACACUGCAAACUGGAAUUGCCCGUGGGAAAUAGUA